Molecule: long non-coding RNA, 2046 nt
Organism: Arachis duranensis
Lineage: Eukaryota; Viridiplantae; Streptophyta; Magnoliopsida; Fabales; Fabaceae
Exons: 4
Source: RefSeq, a predicted model, not a curated record
AAUCAAAAAGAAAGAAAUCAGAAAGAAAGAAAGAAAGAAAAAGAGAAAGGGAGAAGAGAAACGGGAAAUCAGAGAAGUGGAGAUGGGAAGAGGAAGGACGGCGCCGACGGACAUCAGUGCCGCCACGCCGUCGUGUUGCCGCCGAAGGAGAGGAAGCUGCGGACCAUGGUCACGGGUGAAAGAGAGAGCGCAAGCCAGGGCACGCGAGACGGAGCUGCCACUGCUGGGUCGCCGUCCAGCCUCGCCCCACCAUCCAGCCUCGUCCCACCGUGUCUCGUGAUCACCGCCGUCGCGCCCGGUCACCCUUCGAGCUCGCCAUCAAAGACGUUGCGUCUCUAUCACGCAAGAGGAGCGUGACCCACUGCGCGGAGCUGUGCCGCCAUGCAUCUCUACUGCCGUCACUGACCGGCCAUGCCAUUUCGCCAUGGUCGCCACCGUGGGUUUUGGCUGCUGGUGAGAAUAGUGGAGCAGUCACCACCGCAGGAGGAGUUUCGCGCGUCACUGUGAGCUGCGAACCACUGACCGAGAAGAAGCUCCACCCUCGUUACCGCGCUGAAGUCGUCGCCGCCAGCACCGUGCACCACCGUUGCCGCUGCCGUUGAAGGAAGCUUGCCGUCACAAUUCAGUUGCCAUCGAGCCUGAAGGGGAACACCAUUGAUACCACCCGACAGCAGCUCCCCUGCGUUCCCAAACUCCAUUCUUGGAACAUUGUUGCUGGUUUAUCAUUCGAAAAUGGCAUAAUUGAUGCUGAGACCGUUGUUGUUCUUGCUCUGAGAGAUCUGAUGCCACAAUUGCUGCCGGGUCAAUUUGGAAUUUCGGUUGCUUCGUUUUGUUAAUUCGAGUUGCUAUGGUUAUUGCAAAAGUGGCUAGGAGUUGAGGUCUUAGUUGCCGUCAGUUCAGGUUGAGGCGAAAAGGACUCUGUGACGCGUUUGGGUUAUAGAUUUGCGUUUUGAGGGCGCAAAUACCCUCUAAUGAUAAUAAUGCGCAACGGAGAGACUGUGUCCGAGUUAGCUACCAGACACGUUGGGUUGGCUUGGUAACCGACAGAUGAUAUCAUCAGCCACUAGGACAGGCAUGCAUCAUAUGCAUCUAUGUGACAUUGUUUGGGUGUGCAUAUUGUACGUGGUUCAACUUUGUGAUUAACUGCUAAAUGUUCUACUUGCUGUAACUGUUUGUUUGUGCUUGAACUUCCUAUCUGUGUUUGCAUCUGGGACUCUGUUGGAUUGUGGUUAUUGGUUGAUGGUUGGAUUGUUUUGGCCUAGGGCCGUGGUUGAAAUGAGAUGGACCGAGAUUAGUUUCGGUUUUGUAUUUUUGGUUUGGAAAAGUAUGAAAUGCUAAUUUGGUUCAGCAUGGUUAAACCUUUUUGAAAGACUUUUGAGUUUUCGAGAAUUGAACGGUUCCUCUUUCAAAAAAGAUUUCCGAUUUCUCUUUUAUUGUAAACCGUUGUUUUUUAAAAGAGGCAUAAGUCGGUUAUUAAUCACUGGUAUGAUUUAUCUUCACCUAUCCUAUUACAGUAAUUCCCAAAAAUUCUCUACUGAGAACCCUCUCGAGGAUGAUGUUCUCACCCCCCUACAUUUUUCCUGUUUCAGGAUAUGGGUGCUGAAGUCACGAAGAGUUUAUUUAGUUAUUGCUGUGAUGCUCUGUAUUGCUUUAGAUUAUCAUUUAUUGUACCCUCAUCUUUAUCUUGAAAUAUUCUGUAAGAGGGUUAGGAAUUGUAUUGGAUAAUGUUUGUAAUAUUAUUUAUAUAUAUGUAUGUAUAUAUAUGGAUGUACUCUUUAUGAGUUUCUGUAAGUUGUAUGGUAUGUAUGGACGUACGUUGUAUAGCAAAAGUAUUUUUGGGAGCGGUUUUGCGGUUUAAAGUUUUAAACAGGCUCAUAUUUUAGUAUUAAAUAGUAUAAGUGUCGUCGUAAUGUCUGAGCUAUCAGAGUCGCGCAGCCGGAAGCGUGAGCUUUGGUAGUUAGGGUGUUACAAAUUUCUCUAAUAAACAAUAAAUAAUUUAAACCCACUAAAAAAUAACUCAACACUUUUUUUGAUACCUGCAAAACA